This 397-nucleotide ribosomal RNA is filed under the name uncultured bacterium. Its description in RNAcentral is "bacterial SSU rRNA". It matches the Rfam family "Bacterial small subunit ribosomal RNA", at positions 29 to 455 of the family's 1533-position model. The record is from RNAcentral.
AGCGAACGCUGGCGGCAGGCCUAAACAUGCAAGUCGAACGCCGUAGCAAUACGGAGUGGCAGACGGGUGAGUAACACGUGGGAACGUGCCCUUUGGUUCGGAACAACACAGGGAAACUUGUGCUAAUACCGGAUAAGCCCUUACGGGGAAGAUUUAUCGCCAAAGGAUCGGCCCGCGUCUGAUUAGCUAGUUGGUGAGGUAACGGCUCACCAAGGCUACGAUCAGUAGCUGGUCUGAGAGGAUGAUCAGCCACACUGGGACUGAGACACGGCCCAGACUCCUACGGGAGGCAGCAGUUAGGAAUCUUGGACAAUGGGCGCAAGCCUGAUCCAGCCAUGCCGCGUGAGUGAUGAAGGCCUUAGGGUUGUAAACUCCUUUCGAUCGAGACGAAUGGUCU